This 390-nucleotide unclassified non-coding RNA is filed under the name Serissa serissoides. RNAcentral describes it as "Serissa japonica partial external transcribed spacer". Lineage: Eukaryota; Viridiplantae; Streptophyta; Magnoliopsida; Gentianales; Rubiaceae. The record is from RNAcentral.
UUCCUCACGGACAUCGGGCCGCGGGGCGCGGACGCCCUCGCGACGCCGAACGUCGUUCGAAUGAUGUUUGUGACCGAGGUCGUGGGCAGAUAGAGGUCGAAGACCCCGUGCCCCCAGCGUAUUCCACACCCCAGAGAACGAACGAGGAGCCGUGGGCCGCGACACGUCGCCGUUAGGCGCGAGCCGAGGAUCACGAUUCUCGCUUCGAGGUUCACCCUAUUCCGCACCGAGUAUUCGGGCGGCGUCGAGCGAACGAGGGAAGAUUGCCGGCCGAAUUCCAUGGUAGUAGGUACGCAACACAGGAAACCGUCGUGCGGCCAAGGCUACGAAAGCUUGUGCCGAACAAUGAAGAGGCUAGCACGGCUGGACGUCGCUGCGCGGGAGCAGGGA